This 19-nucleotide small nuclear RNA is filed under the name Arabidopsis thaliana (thale cress). RNAcentral's name for it is "snRNA_07475". Lineage: Eukaryota; Viridiplantae; Streptophyta; Magnoliopsida; Brassicales; Brassicaceae. The record is from RNAcentral.
UCAAUAAGCGGAGGAAAAG